RNAcentral lists this long non-coding RNA (261 nucleotides) under Heterocephalus glaber (naked mole-rat). RNAcentral's name for it is "lncRNA (ENSHGLG00000036666.1)". The record is from RNAcentral. Lineage: Eukaryota; Metazoa; Chordata; Mammalia; Rodentia; Bathyergidae.
CAGGGAUCAAACUCUGGACCUUGUGCUUGCGAGGCAGGAGCUGGAACCACUGAGUAACUCCUGAUCGCACACCCCGCCCCACACUUCCAGUGUCCUCUGCCCCGCAAAGGGGCCACGAAGUGCAGGCGGAGCUCACUGCGCGGGCGCCACUAACAACCGUCGUCCCGUGCUCACCCCACCACGGGCAUGCUCACGGCCUCCCGACGCGUACACCGGCACAGAGGUACAUUUACAGCGUGGGCGUGAGUGUGCAGCCGGGCC